ACCUUGCGCUGAAGUGACAGUUGUUACGGGACGGGAUGGGGUGGGGUGGGGGUGGGGGGACACUGGAGGCUGCAACCAUUUACUUCUUAAGCUGUCAACCCAGUUUCAUCCAGAAACUUCCAACCCGUGGAAAACCUCCGUGGCUUGGUUUGGCUCUACUCAAGGAAUAAACCUUUUAAGUGUUACUUUAAACUGAAAUAGAUAGGACGAAUUUUGUAAUUAAAUACAGGUCAGUCGGUGUUCUAAAAGUAGUGGUAGAUUGCAAAGCCUUCAUCUAUUUUAGUUAAGAACUUCGGAGGUGCCAGGGACAUGCAUUUAAGAGUCACUUCGCAUUGAUGGAGACAGACAAAACACUUGGUUUAAGGUGGCCUGAAGAUGUCUCAGGAGCUAGAGAGAUUGGCAUUUUGUUCCCGUACAGUACAAGCUGUUUGAAGGUAAAGAUGACUUCUCACUUUAGCUGUUUCAUGUAAGUCUCUGGGGGUACUUCCAUUCCAAAGGUUUGUUCUUUGGUUGAUACCUUCAUUCAACAAGUAUUUAUCAAGCGUUUAAAUUGCAUCAAAUGUUGGACCUGAAGAAAAUAAUUUUUACAAUGUGCUGAUAAAUUGGCUCAAGACAGUAGAUUAGGCAGUUCUGACGGGGAGAUGAUCAUUGUCCCUGUGAGGACUGAUUAGAGCCAAGCAUGAAGUUAUUCUCAGACAACACAUGAAUGCACUGGGAAACAUCUCCUGCUAGCUGAGGCCUGGACUAGGGAAACCAUCCCUCCUUAGGAGAUAAGUGACCAGUUAGCUUGAGGGGACUUCGCCGUGAGUAGUUGAGAGCCUGGAGAGAAAGAACUCAGAGGUGAGGAAGCAGGUCCGCUUUGAGCAGUGGAAGGAGACCAAGCAAGCUAAGGCUUUGGUGCUUCCUGGACUCGCAGGUGAAGAAGUCCCGAAGACACGGAGCUGUCUCAGAGACUUGGAGCUUGUGAGGAGAAGGCAAUGCUUUAAGGUAAUGCUGCUGGAAGAAGUCACCAGUCUGCAUCACGGGCGGCAACAAUAACGAUCCCACGCCGGACUUAGCUGAGCCCGUGGACCCUGGGAACUCCAUAACUUCAUUGACAUGACUCAUGUAUUUGGCAGGAUGUAUACAAGCAGCCAUGAGAAAAGGAAACCUUAAAACAAGAGACUGCACAAAAGGGCAGCAAAGACAAGAUGGGCCACUGUAACCAGUCAGAGGCAGUAGGUGCGCAAGGACAGGGAGAAUGUUGGGAAGCAUUCACUGGGGUUGCCAAAUGGAAUGUGACUCACCUCAACAGGAAGUGAAUGGAACUGUGUCACCAGGUCAUCCGCAGCAGUCGCUAUACCAAUAAGAGCUACGACCUUUUCAGGCCGUGCAACGGCAGCAUGCAGCAUGAGCCAUCCUCCAAAGCUGGAUCCGACCAGUAUCUACAGACAAACACGUAUGGCUUUAAAGAGGAUUCUCAUACUUGUCUAUAAAGAGAAUGCUUUAAAAGAAAUGUAUGGACUUGCAUUUUUUAUAACCACGCAGAUCCCAGACUUCUAGACUUUUAACAUGUAACACAAAGUCAAAUUCAAUUAUAAAUUGUUUUUUUCUCCUCUGUUCUGGCUGUGCUGGAACUUUCUUUGUAACCUAGGCUGGCCUCAAACUCAGAGAUCUACCUGCCUCUGCCUCCCAAUAAAACUUUUGCAAAGCCA
This is a non-coding RNA of Peromyscus maniculatus bairdii (prairie deer mouse), 1694 nucleotides long. The record is from RefSeq and is a predicted model, not a curated record. NCBI's taxonomy places the organism in Eukaryota, Metazoa, Chordata, Mammalia, Rodentia, Cricetidae.